RNAcentral lists this unclassified non-coding RNA (283 nucleotides) under Helotiaceae sp. RNAcentral describes it as "partial contains 5.8S ribosomal RNA, internal transcribed spacer 2, and large subunit ribosomal RNA". The stretch from base 1 to 71 matches the Rfam family "5.8S ribosomal RNA", at positions 84 to 154 of the family's 154-position model. The record is from RNAcentral. Lineage: Eukaryota; Fungi; Ascomycota; Leotiomycetes; Helotiales; Helotiaceae.
GUGAGUCAUCGAAUCUUUGAACGCACAUUGCGCCCUCUGGUAUUCCGGGGGGCAUGCCUGUUCGAGCGUCAUUACAACCCUCAAGCUCUGCUUGGUGUUGGGCGCCGCCAUCCGUGGCGCGCCUCAAAGUCAGUGGCGGUGCCGUCUGGCCCCAAGCGUAGUAGUACUCUUCUCGCUUCAGGGGCUCGGGCUCGUGCCGGCCAGCAACCCACACUUACUCAAUGGUUGACCUCGGAUCAGGUAGGGAUACCCGCUGAACUUAAGCAUAUCAAUAAGCGGAGGA